RNAcentral lists this ribosomal RNA (646 nucleotides) under uncultured Leucogastraceae. RNAcentral describes it as "eukaryotic LSU rRNA". It matches the Rfam family "Eukaryotic large subunit ribosomal RNA", at positions 1 to 628 of the family's 3401-position model. The record is from RNAcentral. Lineage: Eukaryota; Fungi; Basidiomycota; Agaricomycetes; Boletales; Leucogastraceae.
UCGAUCUCAAAUCAGGCGGGACUACCCGCUGAACUUAAGCAUAUCAAUAAGCGGAGGAAAAGAAACUAACGAGGAUUCCCCUAGUAACUGCGAGUGAAGCGGGAAAAGCUCAAAUUUGAAAUCUGGCGGUCUUUGGCCGUCCGAGUUGUAGUCUGGAGAAGCGCUUUCCGCGCCGGACCGUGUACAAGUCCUCUGGAACGGGGCGUCGUAGAGGGUGAGAAUCCCGUCUUUGACAUGGACUACCGGUGCUCUGUGAUGCGCUCUCGAAGAGUCGAGUUGUUUGGGAAUGCAGCUCAAAACGGGUGGUGAAUUCCAUCUAAAGCUAAAUAUUGGCGAGAGACCGAUAGCGAACAAGUACCGUGAGGGAAAGAUGAAAAGAACUUUGGAAAGAGAGUUAAACAGUACGUGAAAUUGCUGAAAGGGAAACGCUUGAAGUCAGUCGCGUCAUCCAGGGAUCAACCUUGCUUUUGCUUGGUGCACUUUCUGGUUUGAUGGGUCAGCAUCAAUUUUGAUCAUUGGAAAAAGGUUUUAGGGAAUGUGGCAUCCUUGGAUGUGUUAUAGCCCUUGGUCAUAUACAAUGGUUGGGAUUGAGGAACUCAGCACGCCGCAAGGCCGGGUUUUUAACCACGUACGUGCUAGGAUGCUG